GGCANUGCNACACGGGCCAGACUCNUACGGGAGGCAGCAGUGAGGAAUAUUGCGCAAUGGGCGACAGCCUGACGCAGCGACGCCGCGUGGGGGAUGAAGGUUUUCGGAUUGUAAACCCCUUUCGGGAGGGAAGAUGGAACGGGCAACCGUUCGGACGGUACCUCCAGAAGCAGCCACGGCUAACUUCGUGCCAGCAGCCGCGGUAAUACGAAGGUGGCAAGCGUUGUUCGGAUUUACUGGGCGUAAAGGGAGCGUAGGCGGUUUGGUAAGCCCUCCGGGAAAUCUCCAGGCUCAACCUGGAAAGGUCGGGGGGGACUGCCAGGCUAGAGGACGGGAGAGGAGCGCGGAAUUCCCGGUGUAGCGGUGAAAUGCGUAGAGAUCGGGAGGAAGGCCGGUGGCGAAGGCGGCGC
RNAcentral lists this ribosomal RNA (410 nucleotides) under uncultured soil bacterium C059. RNAcentral's name for it is "bacterial SSU rRNA". It matches the Rfam family "Bacterial small subunit ribosomal RNA", at positions 315 to 727 of the family's 1533-position model. The record is from RNAcentral.